AGGGGAGUAGCUCAAUGGUAGAGUAGCGGUCUCCAAAACCGUUGGUUGCGGGUUCGAGUCCUGUCUCCCCUGCCA
This 75-nucleotide transfer RNA is filed under the name Thermoanaerobacterales bacterium. RNAcentral's name for it is "tRNA-Trp". It matches the Rfam family "tRNA". From Rfam's summary of the family: Transfer RNA (tRNA) molecules are approximately 80 nucleotides in length. Their secondary structure includes four short double-helical elements and three loops (D, anti-codon, and T loops). Lineage: Bacteria; Bacillati; Bacillota; Clostridia; Thermoanaerobacterales. The record is from RNAcentral.